AGAGUGAACGCUGGCGGCAGGCCUAAUACAUGCAAGUCGAACGGCAGCACGGCAGAGCUUGCUCUGUGGGUGGCGAGUGGCGGACGGGUGAGGAAUACAUGGGAAUCUGCCCAGUCGUGGGGGAUAACGUAGGGAAACUUACGCUAAUACCGCAUGCGCCCUUCGGGGGAAAGCCGGGGACCUUCGGGCCUGGCGCGAUUGGAUGAGCCCAUGUCGGAUUAGCUAGUUGGCGGGUAACGGCUCACGAAGGCGACGAUCCGUAACUGGUCUGAGAGGAUGAUCAGUCCACACUGGAACUGAGACACGGUCCAGACUCCGUACGGGAGCAGCAGUGGGAAUAUAGGACUAAGUGGGACCGAAAGCCUGACUCCAGCCAUCGCCGCGUGUAGGUAGAAGAAGGUCUUACGGAUUAGUAAAGCGUAACGUUUAAGUUAGGGUAGGAAGGUUAA
RNAcentral lists this ribosomal RNA (449 nucleotides) under uncultured soil bacterium. Its description in RNAcentral is "bacterial SSU rRNA". It matches the Rfam family "Bacterial small subunit ribosomal RNA", at positions 26 to 458 of the family's 1533-position model. The record is from RNAcentral.